This 388-nucleotide ribosomal RNA is filed under the name Klebsiella pneumoniae. RNAcentral describes it as "bacterial SSU rRNA". It matches the Rfam family "Bacterial small subunit ribosomal RNA", at positions 611 to 998 of the family's 1533-position model. RNAcentral also lists the same sequence under 1 other name. The record is from RNAcentral. Lineage: Bacteria; Pseudomonadati; Pseudomonadota; Gammaproteobacteria; Enterobacterales; Enterobacteriaceae.
AACCUGGGAACUGCAUUCGAAACUGGCAGGCUAGAGUCUUGUAGAGGGGGGUAGAAUUCCAGGUGUAGCGGUGAAAUGCGUAGAGAUCUGGAGGAAUACCGGUGGCGAAGGCGGCCCCCUGGACAAAGACUGACGCUCAGGUGCGAAAGCGUGGGGAGCAAACAGGAUUAGAUACCCUGGUAGUCCACGCCGUAAACGAUGUCGAUUUGGAGGUUGUGCCCUUGAGGCGUGGCUUCCGGAGCUAACGCGUUAAAUCGACCGCCUGGGGAGUACGGCCGCAAGGUUAAAACUCAAAUGAAUUGACGGGGGCCCGCACAAGCGGUGGAGCAUGUGGUUUAAUUCGAUGCAACGCGAAGAACCUUACCUGGUCUUGACAUCCACAGAACUU